UAGCUUUGUACUAAGUCAAACUUCUUUAACUUUGACCAAGUCUUUAAAAAAUAUAUUAACAUCUAUAGUGCCAAAUAAAUACACAAUCCAAGAUAUAUUUUAUGUUAGAUCUAAUAAAACUAAUUGGAUAUUGUUAAUGUUGAUACUUUUUUCCUAUAAACUUGGUCAAAGUUACAAAAGUUUGACUUAUGACAAAGCUAA
RNAcentral lists this microRNA precursor (201 nucleotides) under Dichanthelium oligosanthes. Its description in RNAcentral is "MIR1435 microRNA precursor family". It matches the Rfam family "MIR1435 microRNA precursor family". Lineage: Eukaryota; Viridiplantae; Streptophyta; Magnoliopsida; Poales; Poaceae. The record is from Rfam by way of RNAcentral.